RNAcentral lists this ribosomal RNA (491 nucleotides) under uncultured bacterium. RNAcentral describes it as "partial 16S ribosomal RNA". It matches the Rfam family "Bacterial small subunit ribosomal RNA", at positions 29 to 506 of the family's 1533-position model. The record is from RNAcentral.
AGUGAACGCUGGCGGUAGGCCUAACACAUGCAAGUCGAACGGCAGCACAGUAAGAGCUUGCUCUUACGGGUGGCGAGUGGCGGACGGGUGAGGAAUACAUCGGAAUCUACUUUUUCGUGGGGGAUAACGUAGGGAAACUUACGCUAAUACCGCAUACGACCUACGGGUGAAAGCAGGGGAUCUUCGGACCUUGCGCGAUUGAAUGAGCCGAUGUCGGAUUAGCUAGUUGGCGGGGUAAAGGCCCACCAAGGCGACGAUCCGUAGCUGGUCUGAGAGGAUGAUCAGCCACACUGGAACUGAGACACGGUCCAGACUCCUACGGGAGGCAGCAGUGGGGAAUAUUGGACAGUGGGCGCAAGCCUGAUCCAGCCAUACCGCGUGGGUGAAGAAGGCCUUCGGGUUGUAAAGCCCUUUUGUUGGGAAAGAAAAGCAGCAGGUUAAUACCCCGCUGUGCUGACGGUACCCAAAGAAUAAGCACCGGCUAACUUCGU